UUGUGCUAGGAGGCUGGAGAGGCUA
RNAcentral lists this unclassified non-coding RNA (25 nucleotides) under Mus musculus (house mouse). Its description in RNAcentral is "oocyte_clustered_small_RNA6212". The record is from RNAcentral. Lineage: Eukaryota; Metazoa; Chordata; Mammalia; Rodentia; Muridae.